This 550-nucleotide ribosomal RNA is filed under the name uncultured Bacillota bacterium. Its description in RNAcentral is "bacterial SSU rRNA". It matches the Rfam family "Bacterial small subunit ribosomal RNA", at positions 355 to 896 of the family's 1533-position model. Lineage: Bacteria; Bacillati; Bacillota. The record is from RNAcentral.
UAGGGAAUCUUCCACAAUGGACGAAAGUCUGAUGGAGCAACGCCGCGUGAGCGAUGAAGGCCUUCGGGUCGUAAAGCUCUGUUGUUAGGGAAGAACAAGUGCGAGAGUAACUGCUCGCACCUUGACGGUACCUAACCAGAAAGCCACGGCUAACUACGUGCCAGCAGCCGCGGUAAUACGUAGGUGGCAAGCGUUGUCCGGAAUUAUUGGGCGUAAAGCGCGCGCAGGUGGUCCUUUAAGUCUGAUGUGAAAGCCCACGGCUCAACCGUGGAGGGUCAUUGGAAACUGGGGGACUUGAGUGCAGAAGAGGAAAGUGGAAUUCCAAGUGUAGCGGUGAAAUGCGUAGAGAUUUGGAGGAACACCAGUGGCGAAGGCGACUUUCUGGUCUGUAACUGACACUGAGGCGCGAAAGCGUGGGGAGCAAACAGGAUUAGAUACCCUGGUAGUCCACGCCGUAAACGAUGAGUGCUAAGUGUUAGAGGGUUUCCGCCCUUUAGUGCUGCAGCUAACGCAUUAAGCACUCCGCCUGGGGAGUACGGUCGCAAGACUG